This is a ribosomal RNA of Ursus americanus (American black bear), 125 nucleotides long. The record is from Ensembl. NCBI's taxonomy places the organism in Eukaryota, Metazoa, Chordata, Mammalia, Carnivora, Ursidae.
CCUGUCUGGGGCCAUACUACCCUGAACACGCCCUAUCUCAACUGAUCUCGGAAGCUAAGCAGGGUUGGACCUGCUUGGUACUUCGAUGGGAAGGAGCCCUACCGAACAUCAGGGUUCAGACGGGA